RNAcentral lists this ribosomal RNA (507 nucleotides) under uncultured bacterium. RNAcentral describes it as "bacterial SSU rRNA". It matches the Rfam family "Bacterial small subunit ribosomal RNA", at positions 40 to 518 of the family's 1533-position model. The record is from RNAcentral.
CGGCGUGCCUAAUACAUGCAAGUCGAACGGUCUUUCUAUGGAAGCUUGCUUCCACUGAAAAGAUAGUGGCGAACGGGUGAGUAACACGUGGGUAACCUGCCCAUAAGAGGGGGAGUAACAUCCGGAAACGGGUGCUAAUACCGCAUAGUUUUCUUGAUCGCAUGAUCGGGAAAGGAAAGACGGCCUUUGUGCUGUCGCUUAUGGAUGGACCCGCGGCGUAUUAGUUAGUUGGUGAGGUAACGGCUCACCAAGACGAUGAUACGUAGCCGACCUGAGAGGGUGAUCGGCCACAUUGGGACUGAGACACGGCCCAAACUCCUACGGGAGGCAGCAGUAGGGAAUCUUCCGCAAUGGACGAAAGUCUGACGGAGCAACGCCGCGUGAGUGAAGAAAAGGUUUUCGGAUCGUAAAACUCUGUUGUCAGAGAAGAACAAGUUGGAGAGUAACUGCUCCAGCCUUGACGGUAUCUGACCAGAAAGCCACGGCUAACUACGUGCCAGCAGCCGC